Molecule: unclassified non-coding RNA, 248 nt
Filed under: uncultured fungus
Lineage: Eukaryota; Fungi
Description: partial contains 5.8S rRNA and ITS2
Source: RNAcentral
ACGCACAUUGCGCCCCUUGGUAUUCCAUGGGGCAUGCCUGUUCGAGCGUCAUUUGUACCCUCAAGCUCUGCUUGGUGUUGGGUGUUUAUCUCGCCUCCGCGCGUAGACUCGCCUCAGAACAAUUGGCAGCCGGCGUAUUGAUUUCGGAGCGCAGUACAGCUCGCGCAUCGCACUCACAACGUCAGCGUCCAGAAGUGAAUUUUUUACACUCUUGAACUCGGAUCAGGUAGAGAUACCCGCUGAACUUA